UUGUCGUCAGCUCGUGUCGUGAGAUGUUGGGUUAAGUCCCGCAACGAGCGCAACCCCUAUCCUUAGUUGCCAGCAUUCAGUUGGGCACUCUAGGGAGACUGCCGGUGACAAACCGGAGGAAGGUGGGGAUGACGUCAAAUCAUCAUGCCCCUUAUGAGUUGGGCUACACACGUGCUACAAUGGACGGUACAAAGGGCAGCGAGACCGCGAGGUGGAGCCAAUCCCAUAAAGCCGUUCCCAGUUCGGAUUGCAGGCUGCAACUCGCCUGCAUGAAGUCGGAAUCGCUAGUAAUCGCAGGUCAGCAUACUGCGGUGAAUACGUUCCCGGGUCUUGUACACACCGCCCGUCACACCACGAGAGUUUGCAACACCCGAAGCCGGUGAGGUAACCGCAAGGAGCCAGCCGUCGAAGGUGGGGUAGAUGAUUGGGGUGAAGUCGUAACAAGGUAGCCGUAUCGGAAGGUGCGGCUGGAUCACCUCCUUU
Molecule: ribosomal RNA, 483 nt
Filed under: Exiguobacterium acetylicum
Lineage: Bacteria; Bacillati; Bacillota; Bacilli; Caryophanales
Description: bacterial SSU rRNA
Rfam family: Bacterial small subunit ribosomal RNA
Source: RNAcentral